Non-coding RNA from Oryza barthii, 211 nucleotides. The record is from Rfam. Lineage: Eukaryota; Viridiplantae; Streptophyta; Magnoliopsida; Poales; Poaceae.
AAUAAGUGCAGUUUUAGCACUGUUCAUGAACAACGUUUGACCGUUCGUCUUAUUUGAAAAAAAAUUAUGAUUAGUAUUUUUAUUGUUAUUAGAUGGUAAAACAUUAAUAGUAAUUUAUGUGUGACUAAUUUUUUUUAACUUUUUUCAUAAAUUUUUCAAAUAAAACGGACGGUCAAAACGCUGAGCACGGAUAUUUAUGGCAGCACUUAUU